GCGGGUGUAGUUUAGUGGUAAAACUACAGUCUUCCAAGCUGUUGUCGCGAGUUCGAUUCUCGUCACCCGCU
RNAcentral lists this transfer RNA (71 nucleotides) under Streptococcus agalactiae. Its description in RNAcentral is "tRNA-Gly". It matches the Rfam family "tRNA". From Rfam's summary of the family: Transfer RNA (tRNA) molecules are approximately 80 nucleotides in length. Their secondary structure includes four short double-helical elements and three loops (D, anti-codon, and T loops). Further hydrogen bonds mediate the characteristic L-shaped molecular structure. tRNAs have two regions of fundamental functional importance: the anti-codon, which is responsible for specific mRNA codon recognition, and the 3' end, to which the tRNAs corresponding amino acid is attached (by aminoacyl-tRNA synthetases). tRNAs cope with the degeneracy of the genetic code in two manners: having more than one tRNA (with a specific anti-codon) for a particular amino acid; and 'wobble' base-pairing, i.e. permitting non-standard base-pairing at the 3rd anti-codon position. The record is from RNAcentral. Lineage: Bacteria; Bacillati; Bacillota; Bacilli; Lactobacillales; Streptococcaceae. RNAcentral also lists the same sequence under 6 other names.